GCUUAACGCGAAGAACCUUACCUACUCUUGACAUCCAGAGAACUUAGCAGAGAUGCUUUGGUGCCUUCGGGAACUCUGAGACAGGUGCUGCAUGGCUGUCGUCAGCUCGUGUUGUGAAAUGUUGGGUUAAGUCCCGCAACGAGCGCAACCCUUAUCCUUUGUUGCCAGCGGUUAGGCCGGGAACUCAAAGGAGACUGCCAGUGAUAAACUGGAGGAAGGUGGGGAUGACGUCAAGUCAUCAUGGCCCUUACGAGUAGGGCUACACACGUGCUACAAUGGCAUAUACAAAGAGAAGCGACCUCGCGAGAGCAAGCGGACCUCAUAAAGUAUGUCGUAGUCCGGAUUGGAGUCUGCAACUCGACUCCAUGAAGUCGGAAUCGCUAGUAAUCGUGGAUCAGAAUGCCACGGUGAAUACGUUCCCGGGUCUUGUACACACCGGGGGUCUUGUACACACCGGGGUUCUUGGUACA
This 470-nucleotide ribosomal RNA is filed under the name uncultured bacterium. RNAcentral describes it as "bacterial SSU rRNA". It matches the Rfam family "Bacterial small subunit ribosomal RNA", at positions 954 to 1424 of the family's 1533-position model. The record is from RNAcentral.